AUAGCGUAUAUUAAAGUUGUUGCAGUUAAAAAGCUCGUAGUUGAACCUUGGGCCUGGCUGGGCGGUCCGCCUCACCGCGUGUACUGGUCCGGCCGGGCCUUUCCUUCUGGAGAGCCCCAUGCCCUUUAUUGGGUGUGCGGGGGAACCAGGACUUUUACUGAGAAAAAAUUAGAGUGUUCAAAGCAGGCCUUUGCUCGAAUACGUUAGCAUGGAAUAAUAAAAUAGGACGUGCGGUUCUAUUUUGUUGGUUUCUAGAGCCGCCGUAAUGAUUAAUAGGGAUAGUCGGGGGCAUCAGUAUUCAAUUGUCAGAGGUGAAAUUCUUGGAUUGAUUCAAGACUAACUACUG
Molecule: ribosomal RNA, 346 nt
Filed under: uncultured eukaryote
Lineage: Eukaryota
Description: SSU rRNA
Rfam family: Eukaryotic small subunit ribosomal RNA
Source: RNAcentral